RNAcentral lists this transfer RNA (600 nucleotides) under uncultured cyanobacterium. RNAcentral describes it as "partial 16S-23S ribosomal RNA intergenic spacer". The stretch from base 271 to 343 matches the Rfam family "tRNA". The record is from RNAcentral. Lineage: Bacteria; Bacillati; Cyanobacteriota.
CAGGGAGACAACACAAUGAUUUUGAUGCCUGAGUGUUUUUAUUCUUAGGCCGAAAUCCUGUCACCUUAGGUCGAUCGGUACCUCAGCUUUGAAGUUAAGGAUCAGCAGCAAUGUUGAUUGCUUGAUGGAGAUUUUCAGUUCCUAAACUUUGUCUAGGUCACACCCCAAAGGGGAUGAGACUCCUGGGCCAUUAGCUCAGGUGGUUAGAGCGCACCCCUGAUAAGGGUGAGGUCCCUGGUUCAAGUCCAAGAUGGCCCAUAUCUCUAUGUUGGGGGUAUAGCUCAGUUGGUAGAGCGCCUGCUUUGCAAGCAGGAUGUCAGCGGUUCGAGUCCGCUUACCUCCACUGAUUACCACCUCUUCCAUAAUUUGAAGAAAGGAAACUUUUUGAGUUGUGAUCAAAUUCUGAACGAAUCUAGCUUCCUAAUGAAUCCAUUAAGAUGCUGGACUCAUUGAAUUAAUUUUCAUUGUUUUCAGAGAACCUUGACAACUGCAUAGAUUAUUUUUAAAGACAAUAAGCAUCUUUAAUGAUGCAGAUUUAUUAUUUGUGCUGAUGCAUUAAUAACAAUUCUAUUAAGCUGAUGCUUCAAUUUUGAAGUUAUU